This 519-nucleotide ribosomal RNA is filed under the name uncultured bacterium. Its description in RNAcentral is "partial 16S ribosomal RNA". It matches the Rfam family "Bacterial small subunit ribosomal RNA", at positions 29 to 523 of the family's 1533-position model. The record is from RNAcentral.
AGCGAACGUUAGCGGCAGGCCUAACACAUGCAAGUCGCACGAGAAUUCGGUUUCGGCCGAUAGUAAAGUGGCGGACGGGUACGUAACACGUGGAUAAUCUGCCCUCCGGCGGGGGAUAACUGUCCGAAAGGAUAGCUAAUACCGCAUUCGUCAACGAGGUCUUCGGACCUUGUUGGGAAAGGUGGCCUCUUCAUGAAAGCUACCACCGGGGGAUGAGUCCGUGGCCCAUCAGCUAGUUGGCGGGGUAAUGGCCCACCAAGGCGAAGACGGGUAGCUGGUCUGAGAGGAUGAUCAGCCACACUGGAACUGAGACACGGUCCAGACUCCUACGGGAGGCAGCAGUGGGGAAUAUUGGGCAAUGGGCGCAAGCCUGACCCAGCCAUGCCGCGUGAGUGAUGAAGGCCUUCGGGUCGUAAAGCUCUGUGGGGAGGGAAGAAAAACCUUGUGGCCAACAUCCACGAGGCUUGACGGUACCUCCUUAGCAAGCACCGGCUAACUCCGUGCCAGCCGCCGCGGUAA